CGGGAGGCAGCAGUAGGGAAUCUUCCACAAUGGACGAAAGUCUGAUGGAGCAACGCCGCGUGAGUGAUGAAGGUUUUCGGAUCGUAAAACUCUGUUGUUAAAGAAGAACAAGUGUUAGAGUAACUGUUAACACUUUGACGGUAUUUAACCAGAAAGCCACGGCUAACUACGUGCCAGCAGCCGCGGUAAUACGUAGGUGGCAAGCGUUGUCCGGAUUUAUUGGGCGUAAAGCGAGCGCAGGCGGUUUUGUAAGUCUGCUGUGAAAGCCCUCAGCUCAACUGAGGAAGUGCAGUGGAAACUACAAAACUUGAGUACAGAAGAGGAAAGUGGAACUCCAUGUGUAGCGGUGAAAUGCGUAGAUAUAUGGAAGAACACCAGUGGCGAAAGGCGGCUUUCUGGUCUGUUACUGACNCUGAGGCUCGAAAAGCAUGGGUAGCGAACAAGGAUUAGAUACCCUGGUAGUCCAUGCCCGUAAACGAUGAAUACUAGGUGUUGGAGGGUUUCCGCCCUUCAGUGCCGCAGCUAACGCAUUAAGUAUUCCGCCUGGGGAGUACGACCGCAAGGUUGAAACUCAAAGGAAUUGACGGGGGCCCGCACAAGUGGUGGAGCAUGUGGUUUAAUUCGAUGCUACGCGAAGAACCUUACCAGCUCUUGACAUCUUCUGCCAACCCAAGAGAUUGGGCGUUCCCUUCGGGGACAGAAUGACAGGUGGUGCAUGGUUGUCGUCAGCUCGUGUCGUGAGAUGUUGGGUUAAGUCCCGCAACGAGCGCAACCCUUAUUAUUAGUUGCCAGCAUUUAGUUGGGCACUCUAGUGAGACUGCCGGUGAUAAACCGGAGGAAGGUGGGGACGACGUCAAAUCAUCAUGCCCCUUAUGAGCUGGGCUACACACGUGCUACAAUGGAUGGUACAACGAGUCGCGAAACCGCGAGGUCAAGCUAAUCUCUUAAAGCCAUUCUCAGUUCGGAUUGCAGGCUGCAACUCGCCUGCAUGAAGUUGGAAUCACUAGUAAUCGUGGAUCAGCAUGCCACGGUGAAUACGUUCCCGGGCCUUGUACACAC
RNAcentral lists this ribosomal RNA (1059 nucleotides) under Apilactobacillus kunkeei. RNAcentral's name for it is "bacterial SSU rRNA". It matches the Rfam family "Bacterial small subunit ribosomal RNA", at positions 342 to 1390 of the family's 1533-position model. Lineage: Bacteria; Bacillati; Bacillota; Bacilli; Lactobacillales; Lactobacillaceae. The record is from RNAcentral.